RNAcentral lists this transfer RNA (71 nucleotides) under Cordylochernes scorpioides. Its description in RNAcentral is "tRNA-Gly". Lineage: Eukaryota; Metazoa; Arthropoda; Arachnida; Pseudoscorpiones; Chernetidae. The record is from RNAcentral.
UGCAUCGGCCGGGAAUCGAACCAGGGCCUCCACGUGGCAGGCGAGCAUUCUCGCCAUUGAACUACCGAUGC